RNAcentral lists this ribosomal RNA (253 nucleotides) under Acidobacterium sp. RNAcentral describes it as "partial 16S ribosomal RNA". It matches the Rfam family "Bacterial small subunit ribosomal RNA", at positions 524 to 776 of the family's 1533-position model. The record is from RNAcentral. Lineage: Bacteria; Pseudomonadati; Acidobacteriota; Terriglobia; Terriglobales; Acidobacteriaceae. RNAcentral also lists the same sequence under 1 other name.
UACGUAGGCAGCAAGCGUUGUUCGGAAUUACUGGGCGUAAAGGGUGUGUAGGCGGCUAUCCAAGUUUGGUGUGAAAUCUCCCGGCUCAACUGGGAGGGUGCGCCGAAAACUGGAUGGCUCGAGUGCGGGAUGGGAAAGUGGAAUUCCUGGUGUAGCGGUGAAAUGCGUAGAUAUCAGGAGGAACACCGGUGGUGUAGACGGCUUUCUGGACCGCAACUGACGCUGAGACACGAAAGCGUGGGUAGCAAACAGG